GGACUACCCGGGUUUCUAAUCCUGUUUGAUACCCACACUUUCGUGCCUCAGCGUCAGUUACAUACCAGUAUGCUGCCUACGCAAUCGGGGUUCUGUGUAAUAUCUAAGCAUUUCACCGCUACACUACACAUUCCGCAUACCUCACUUGCACUCAAGCCUAACAGUUUCAACGGCAAUUUUACAGUUGAGCUGCAAACUUUCACCGCUGACUUAAUAAGCCGCCUACGCACCCUUUAAACCCAAUAAAUCCGGAUAACGCUUGCAUCCUCCGUAUUACCGCGGCUGCUGGCAC
This 292-nucleotide ribosomal RNA is filed under the name uncultured Bacteroidota bacterium. RNAcentral's name for it is "uncultured Bacteroidetes bacterium partial 16S ribosomal RNA". The record is from RNAcentral. Lineage: Bacteria; Pseudomonadati; Bacteroidota.